This 228-nucleotide long non-coding RNA is filed under the name Setaria italica (foxtail millet). RNAcentral describes it as "long non-coding RNA (SITA_LNC002851)". Lineage: Eukaryota; Viridiplantae; Streptophyta; Magnoliopsida; Poales; Poaceae. The record is from RNAcentral.
AGGGAGUGAGCUUACUACCUGGAAAAGACGAUACAGCUUCUCCGAAAGAGGUACAACGGCACCUUGCCGAUGGGUCAGUCUCUGAUUCGACGUUGGGGAAGGUCUUGGUUUCGAUCCAUUCUUUGGAGAUUUUGCUCAUAUGUAAAUUAAGCCAGAGGUUGAUAAACCACCAGGGACCACCAGGGUUCCCGAUGGGCUCCCCAGAUGAUAGCUUCACGGCAAUUUGAU